This 1212-nucleotide ribosomal RNA is filed under the name uncultured archaeon. RNAcentral describes it as "bacterial SSU rRNA". It matches the Rfam family "Archaeal small subunit ribosomal RNA", at positions 185 to 1391 of the family's 1478-position model. The record is from RNAcentral.
AAAAAAAUGGUUUUUAUCUGCUAUAGGAUAGGAUCGUGUUCGAUUAUGGUUGUUGGUGAGGUAAUGGCUCACCAAGCCGAUAAUCGAUAGGGGCCGUGAGAGCGGGAGCCCCGAGAUGGGUACUGAGACAACGACCCAGGCCUUACGAGGCGCAGCAGGCGCGAAACCUCCGCAAUACACGAAAGUGUUACGGGGUUACCCAAAGUGUUCAAUUUUGAACUGUGGUAGGUGGAGUAAUGUUCCCUACUAGAAAGGAGAGGGCAAGGCUGGUGCCAGCCGCCGCGGUAAAACCCAGCUCGUCAAGUGGUCGGGAUAAUUAUUGGGCUUAAAGUGUCCGUAGCCGGUUUAGUAAGUUCCUGGUAAAAUCGGGUAGCUUAACUAUCUAUAUGCUAGGAAUACUACUAUACUAGAGGGCGGGAGAGGUCUGAGGUACUACAGGGGUAGGGGUGAAAUCUUAUAAUCCUUGUUGGACCACCAGUGGCGAAGGCGUCAGACUGGAACGCGCCUGACGGUGAGGGACCAAAGCCAGGGGAGCGAACCGGAUUAGAUACCCGGGGUAGUCCUGGGCCGGAAACGAUGCAUACUAGGUGAUGGCACGGCCAUGACCCGUGUCAGUGCCGUAGGGAAACCGUUAAGUGUGCCGCCUGGGAAAGUACGGUCGCAAGGCUAAAACUUAAAGGAAUUGGGCGGGGGGAGCACCACAAGGGGUGAAGCCUGCGGUUCAAUUGGACUCAACGCCGGAAAACUUACCAGGGGAGACAGCAGUAUGACGGUCAGGUUGACGACCUUACCUAACGAGCUGAGAGGAGGUGCAUGGCCGUCGCCAGUUCGUGCCGUGAGGUAUCCUGUUAAGUCAGGCAGCGAACGAGAUCCGCACCUUUAUUUGCCAACAAGAAGUCACGACAUCGUUGGGAACACUAAAGGGACCGCCGUCGAUAAGACGGAGGAAGGAGCGGGCAAAGGCAGGUCAGUAUGCCCCGAAACCCCUGGGCUACACGCGGGCUGCAAUGGUAUGAACAAUGGGCUGUGACUCCGAAAGGAGAAACCAAUCCCGAAAUCAUAUCUCAGUUGGAAUUGUCGGCUGUAACCCGCCGACAUGAACGCGGAAUCCCUAGUAAUCGUGUGUCAUCAACGCACGGUGAAUACGUCUCUGCUCCUUGCACACACCGCCCGUCGCUCCAUCCGAGUGUGCUAAAAAUGAGGUUUGGUCAA